AUGGACAUGAGGGCCCCUGCUCAGCUCCUUGGGCUCCUGCUGCUCUGGUUAUCAGGUGCCAGAUGUGACAUCCGGAUGACCCAGUCUCCAUCCUCCCUGUCUGCAUCUCUGGGAGACAGGGUCACUAUCACUUGCAGGGCCAGUCAGGGUAUUAACUGGAAUUUACGCUGGUAUCAGCAGAAACCAGGGAAAGCUCCCAAGCUCCUGAUCUAUGGUGCAUCCAACUUGGCAGAUGGGGUCCCAUUGAGGUUCAGUGGCAGUGGGUCUGAUACAGACUAUUCUCUCACUAUCAGCAACCUGGAGUCUGAAGAUAUUGCAACUUAUUACUGUCUACAGACUGAUCAGUAUCCUCCCACAGUGAUACAAGUCAUAACAUAA
Peromyscus eremicus (cactus mouse) is the source of this 378-nucleotide non-coding RNA. The record is from the annotation of a RefSeq genome assembly. Lineage: Eukaryota; Metazoa; Chordata; Mammalia; Rodentia; Cricetidae.